GUGUCAGCAGCCGCGGUAAAACGUAGGACGCGAGCGUUAUCCGGAGUUACUGGGCGUAAAGGGCGGGUAGGCGGCCAGUCAAGUUGGAUGUGAAAUCUCCUGGCUAAACUGGGAGGGUGCAUUCGAAACUGAUUGGCUAGAGGACAGCAGAGGGUCGCGGAAUUCCGGGUGGAGUGGUGAAAUGCGUAGAGAUCCGGAGGAACACCAGAGGCGAAAGCGGCGACCUGGGCUGUAACUGACGCUGAACCGCGAAAGCCAGGGGAGCGAACGGGAUUAGAUACCCCUGUAGUCC
This 292-nucleotide ribosomal RNA is filed under the name uncultured bacterium. Its description in RNAcentral is "partial 16S ribosomal RNA". It matches the Rfam family "Bacterial small subunit ribosomal RNA", at positions 505 to 796 of the family's 1533-position model. The record is from RNAcentral.